CCUUGGAAGGUUAGAACAUCAAUAACGAUGAGAUAAAACCGAAUAAAAAGAGAAGAGUCUGGAAGCUUGAAAUUUUGAAUGCUCCUAUAUCUACCAAACAAGUGAAAUUUCCAUCCAAACAUGGCAAGUAAACAAGUCAAAACAUCAGCAGUCACUCUGAACCGAAAGCAAAGUCCUACGCAAUUACGAAACGUUUCUCAGUUCGAGAACAUACUGCCCUGCCUAAGCAGAUUUUGUUUAAAUAGCCCACCCACUUUCCCUACACGUCACUCAGCAUCUGACUUCAGAGUGAACCACAUCCUCAGCUCUACAUUAAGUGCCAUUUGGAAUCAUGGAAAACUGUACAAUCCCAAUCUGCUCUACAAGGCGGGGCCCCAUUCCAACACCCCGAAUCCUCGUUCUCUCUGGGGUGACUUAACCUUCCUGAAUCAAAUCACUUUGAUGGGGAUGAAUCCCUUGAUCAUUGCCUGAAAACUCGAGCUUAGCUAGCAACCUCGGUUCUUGCAAACAUUUAAGCCAUCCUAAAGUGGACAACAUGGCUUAUGGAUUGGGCUUACUGUCUCCGGGCUAGCCAGGUACCCCAUAAUGGUUAGGGUAUCUUUCAAAUGGGGGCUUCAUCCAACUGCGCAAAACGAGGUUUUGUGAUUGCCUAUGAGAAAGCACCAGCUUCCAAGAAAAAGACGUCGACUAUGUUCUAAAGUAGGGGAAAUUGGGCCUUGUCAAUGUCAUGAACUGUUGCUCAGUUUUAGUUGGCAUUCUAGUAGGCUCAUAGUACCUGAAAUCCAACAACUAUGGUAUAGUGAGGAAAAGUAAAGCCUCUACCCACAGCCUGUGAGUGACAAUAGGAAUCCAGGAAGAGAAGUUUUUCAAGAAUCUUGGAAUGAACAACAACCGUCACAGAACA
Molecule: long non-coding RNA, 904 nt
Organism: Tigriopus californicus
Lineage: Eukaryota; Metazoa; Arthropoda; Copepoda; Harpacticoida; Harpacticidae
Exons: 2
Source: RefSeq, a predicted model, not a curated record